RNAcentral lists this long non-coding RNA (643 nucleotides) under Equus caballus (horse). RNAcentral describes it as "lncRNA (ENSECAG00000057313.1)". Lineage: Eukaryota; Metazoa; Chordata; Mammalia; Perissodactyla; Equidae. The record is from RNAcentral.
GGUUCUAUAUGGAAAAGGGCUGCAUCCUCAGGAGGUGAAAUGAAAGCAGAGAUCAAAAACUCAGAGAUAGCAGGAGACUCCUAGAAGCAGAGGUUUUGAGAAACUUAAACCUCCAUGCCACCCACCUUCCUCUUGACAAGAAACAGGACUUCCGUCCCCAGGUUUCCAAGAAUGAUUAAGAACAAGCUGCAUAAAAAUUAUGACACGUAAUUUUCUGGACUAUGGACUAAAAUGAACUGCUCCACCGAGACGGUGCUCUGUCUUUGGGAAGAUGCUGCAAUAAAUAAAAGUGUGGAAAUCAAGUGGCUGGCACCCUGCCAAGACGCCCUGUACAGUGAGUGCACAUGUGCUGGACACGACACAAUGACCUAAAAGAAACACAGAGAUACUGCUGGAAUAGUUCAGUGAAUAUAGUUCAGUGAAUACCACUGCUUCAGCGAGGAGUAAGUCAUGUAAUAAGGCAGGAUGGAAACAGAAUUAACCUUUAAAACUUGGAAAUGGAGUACCGGAGGUGAUCUCUGCCUUCCAGAUGGAAUAACGUCCCCCGUGUCCUUCUGUCCUCUCAGUUCUGAACUCUGAUAUUUGGCUAUCAGUGUUCGGCACUUGGUACUGCUUAUUGAGAUGAAACCAGAUAAAACAAACC